CAUGUAGGGUGCGAGCGUUGUCCGGAAUUAUUGGGCGUAAAGAGCUCGUAGGCGGUGUGUCGCGUCGGCCGUGAAAACCUGCAGCUUAACUGUGGGCUUGCGGUCGAUACGGGCAUCACUGGAGUUCGGCAGGGGAGACUGGAAUUCCUGGUGUAGCGGUGAAAUGCGCAGAUAUCAGGAGGAACACCGGUGGCGAAGGCGGGUCUCUGGGCCGAUACUGACGCUGAGGAGCGAAAGCGUGGGGAGCGAACAGG
Molecule: ribosomal RNA, 254 nt
Filed under: uncultured bacterium
Lineage: Bacteria
Description: partial 16S ribosomal RNA
Rfam family: Bacterial small subunit ribosomal RNA
Source: RNAcentral